Unclassified non-coding RNA from Cebus imitator (Panamanian white-faced capuchin), 290 nucleotides. It matches the Rfam family "Metazoan signal recognition particle RNA". Rfam says of the family: The signal recognition particle (SRP) is a universally conserved ribonucleoprotein. It is involved in the co-translational targeting of proteins to membranes. The record is from Ensembl. NCBI's taxonomy places the organism in Eukaryota, Metazoa, Chordata, Mammalia, Primates, Cebidae.
GCUGGGCGUGGAGGCACGUGCCUGUAAUCCCAGCCACUUGGGAGGCUGAGGCUGGAGGAGCACUUGAGCCCAGGAGUUCUGCGCCGUAGUGCACUAUGCCAACUGGGUGUCUGCACUAAGUUCAGGAUAAAUAUGGUGACCUCCUGGGAGCGAGGGACCACCAGGUUGCCUAAGGAGGGGUGAACUGGCUGAGGUUGGAAAUGGAACAAGUCAAAACUCCCAUGCUGAUCAGUAAUGGGAUUGUGUCUGUGAAUAGCCACUGCACUCCAGCCUGGACAACAUAUAAAAAU